UCUAUGUUAUUCAACGAGGACAUCUGAAAUGAAUCAAAGGUUUACCGCUAUAGGAUGGGGAUGCGUCUGAUUAGGUUGUUGGCGGGGUAACGGCCCACCAAGCCGUCGAUCAGUAGGGGUUCUGAGAGGAAGGUCCCCCACAUUGGAACUGAGACACGGUCCAAACUCCUACGGGAGGCAGCAGUGAGGAAUAUUGGUCAAUGGGCGAGAGCCUGAACCAGCCAAGUAGCGUGCAGGAUGACGGCCCUAUGGGUUGUAAACUGCUUUUAUCGGGGGAUAAAGUGCGGGACGCGUCCCGUUUUGUAGGUACCCGAUGAAUAAGGACCGGCUAAUUCCGUGCCAGCAGCCGCGGUAAUACGGAAGGUCCGGGCGUUAUCCGGAUUUAUUGGGUUUAAAGGGAGCGCAGGCCGAAGGUUAAGCGUGACGUGAAAUGUAGCCGCUCAACGGCUGAACUGCGUCGCGAACUGGCUUUCUUGAGUGAGUUCGAUGUGGGCGGAAUUCGUGGUGUAGCGGUGAAAUGCUUAGAUAUCACGAAGAACUCCGAUUGCGAAGGCAGCCCACAAGGCCUUUACUGACGCUAAAGCUCGAAGGUGCGGGUAUCGAACAGGAUUAGAUACCCUGGUAGUCCGCACGGUAAACGAUGGAUGCCCGCUGUUUGCGAUAUACUGUGAGCGGCCAAAGAGAAAUCGUUAAGCAUCCC
This 700-nucleotide ribosomal RNA is filed under the name uncultured rumen bacterium. Its description in RNAcentral is "bacterial SSU rRNA". It matches the Rfam family "Bacterial small subunit ribosomal RNA", at positions 170 to 870 of the family's 1533-position model. The record is from RNAcentral.